Molecule: small RNA, 2778 nt
Filed under: Pongo abelii (Sumatran orangutan)
Lineage: Eukaryota; Metazoa; Chordata; Mammalia; Primates; Hominidae
Description: retained intron
Source: RNAcentral
AACGUUAAAUUUAGAUGUUUUACCUCUAAAUGAGGUGAAAUUGCAGGUUCCCUCUGGCUGGCGGUGGGGAGGAGACGCAGGGCAGCUUUGGCCAGCAGUGAGCAGGACAGACUUAGUGGGAGUAGGCUCUGCUUCCUCCAGCCACACCUUGGGGACGGAGGCCCAGGACAGUCCCCAGUGUCUGGGAGCAUCUGGCUUCCUCUCCGUGCACGCACCAGCCAGGUCUGAACGGCAUCAGUUCUAAGUGCCAGGCCAGAGAGAGGCAGCGAGGGACACGGAGUGGAAGAGGCUGUCUUGUCUGCCACCAAAGGUGACCACCAUGUCGGUGAGGUUGCGGUUCCUGUCCCCCGGGGACACAGGGGCCGUGGGGGUCGUGGGCCGGAGCGCCUCCUUCGCGGGCUUCAGCAGUGCACAGAGCCGGAGGAUCGCAAAGUCCAUCAACAGGAACUCCGUGAGAUCGCGAAUGCCUGCAAAAUCCUCCAAGAUGUACGGCACGCUGCGGAAGGGGUCGGUCUGUGCAGAUCCCAAGCCCCAGCAGGUGAAGAAGAUCUUCGAAGCAUUGAAAAGAGGCCUCAAGGAGUAUUUGUGUGUGCAGCAGGCUGAGCUGGACCACCUGUCUGGACGCCACAAAGACACCAGGAGGAAUUCCAGGCUGGCUUUCUAUUACGACCUGGACAAGCAAACGCGCUGUGUGGAAAGGCACAUUCGGAAGAUGGAGUUUCACAUCAGCAAGGUGGACGAGCUGUACGAGGACUACUGCAUCCAGUGCCGCCUGCGCGACGGCGCCUCCAGCAUGCAGCGGGCGUUCGCCCAGUGCCCCCUGAGCCGCGCAGCCCGAGAGAGCCUGCAGGAGCUGGGCCGCAGCCUGCACGAGUGCGCCGAGGACAUGUGGCUCAUCGAGGGGGCCCUGGAGGUUCACCUGGGCGAGUUCCACAUCAGGAUGAAAGGCUUGGUGGGCUACGCACGCCUCUGUCCCGGAGACCACUAUGAGGUGCUCAUGCGUCUGGGCCGCCAGCGUUGGAAGCUCAAGGGUCGGAUUGAGUCAGAUGACAGCCAGACCUGGGACGAAGAGGAGAAGGCCUUCAUCCCCACGCUGCACGAGAACCUGGACAUCAAGGUGGGGAUGGGGCCAGGGGGCAGGGCUGGGGUGCCUGGGUGCUCGGCUCAGACACCACCCUCCAGCCCCCACCCCCAGGUGACGGAGUUGCGGGGCCUGGGCUCGCUGGCUGUGGGUGCAGUGACGUGUGACAUCGCCGACUUCUUCACGACGAGGCCGCAAGUCAUCGUGGUGGAUAUCACGGAGUUGGGUACCAUCAAGCUGCAGCUGGAGGUGCAGUGGAACCCGUUUGAUACUGAGAGCUUCCUGGUGUCACCCAGCCCCACGGGCAAGUUUUCUAUGGGCAGCAGGAAGGGCUCUUUGUACAACUGGACACCCCCGAGCACCCCCAGCUUCCGGGAGAGAUACUACCUGUCUGUCCUACAGCAGCCAACACAGCAGGCCUUGCUGCUAGGUGGCCCAAGGGCCACCUCCAUCCUCAGCUACCUGUCUGACAGUGACCUCCGGGGCCCCAGCCUAAGAAGCCAGAGUCAGGAGCUGCCUGAGAUGGACUCCUUCAGCUCUGAGGACCCCCGAGACACGGAGACCAGCACGUCAGCUUCCACCUCAGAUGUGGGCUUCCUGCCCUUGGCCAUCGGCCCCCACGCCUCCAUUGAAGAGGAGGCUCGGGAGGACCCCCUGCCCCCAGGUCUCCUGCCGGAGAUGGCCCACCUCUCUGGAGGCCCAUUUGCAGAGCAGCCUGGCUGGAGGAACUUAGCAAUGGAGAGCCGCAGCCUGCCACAGGGCUCCCUGUUCCACAACGGCACAGCCUCGAGUAGCCAGAACGGCCACGAAGAAGGGGCAACCAGGGACAGAGAGGACGGGCCUGGCGUGGCCCUCGAGGGGCCUCUGCAGGAGGUCCUGGAGUUGCUGAGGCCCACGGACUCCACGGAGCCCCAGCUCCAGGAGCUGGAGUACCAGGUCCUCGGCUUCCGGGACCGGCUGAAGCCCUGCAGAGCACGGCAGGAGCAUGCCUCGGCCGAGAGCCUGAUGGAGUGCAUCCUGGAGAGCUUCGCCUUCCUCAAUGCCGACUUCGCCCCGGAUGAGCUGUCCCUGUUUGGGGGCUCCCAGGGUCUCCGGUGAGUGCACCUCCUUCCAGCAGUGACCCAGUGGCCGGCACUCCCACCGGGUGACCCAAGCUCCACGUUUCCUGCCAGCCUCCCAGUCUGUUUCUCCCACUGUCCUUGGCUCAGCUCCUGUCAUUCUAUCGUGCACCCUUCCCCAUGCCAUCCCCACACAUCCCCCACUUGGCUCAGAGCUGGUCCUCAGUGACCACGAAGUGGGUGAAAUCACCCCAGCCUGGCCCUGAGCCUUCUGCUCCAAGGAACCAGCUUUUAGUAUUAUUUUUUAAACCUUAAAAAAUAACCACCAAGUAUAUAGUAGAAGUUCUUUGAGGCCAGGCACAGUGGCUCACGCCUGUAAUCCCAACACUUUGGGAGGCCGAGGCGGGCAGAUCACCUGAGGUCAGGAGUUCGAGACCAGCCUGGCCAACAUGGUGAAACCCCAUCUCUACUAAAAAUACAAAAAUCAGCUGGGCAUGGUGGUGAGAGCCUAUAAUCUCAGCUACUCGGGAGGCUGAGGCAGGAGAAUCGCUUGGACCCGGGAGGCGGAGGUUGCGGUGAGCCAAGAUGGUACCACUAUACUCCAGCCUGGGCGAAAGUAAGACUCUGUCUCAAAAAAAG